This 2920-nucleotide ribosomal RNA is filed under the name Bacillus cereus. Its description in RNAcentral is "23S ribosomal RNA". It matches the Rfam family "Bacterial large subunit ribosomal RNA". The record is from RNAcentral. Lineage: Bacteria; Bacillati; Bacillota; Bacilli; Caryophanales; Bacillaceae.
GGUUAAGUUAGAAAGGGCGCACGGUGGAUGCCUUGACACUAGGAGUCGAUGAAGGACGGGACUAACGCCGAUAUGCUUCGGGGAGCUGUAAGUAAGCUUUGAUCCGAAGAUUUCCGAAUGGGGAAACCCACCAUACGUAAUGGUAUGGUAUCCUUAUCUGAAUACAUAGGGUAAGGAAGACAGACCCAGGGAACUGAAACAUCUAAGUACCUGGAGGAAGAGAAAGCAAUGCGAUUUCCUGAGUAGCGGCGAGCGAAACGGAACAUAGCCCAAACCAAGAGGCUUGCCUCUUGGGGUUGUAGGACAUUCUAUACGGAGUUACAAAGGAACGAGGUAGACGAAGCGACCUGGAAAGGUCCGUCGUAGAGGGUAACAACCCCGUAGUCGAAACUUCGUUCUCUCUUGAAUGUAUCCUGAGUACGGCGGAACACGUGAAAUUCCGUCGGAAUCUGGGGAGACCAUCUCCCAAGGCUAAAUACUCCCUAGUGAUCGAUAGUGAACCAGUACCGUGAGGGAAAGGUGAAAAGCACCCCGGAAGGGGAGUGAAAGAGAUCCUGAAACCGUGUGCCUACAAAUAGUCAGAGCCCGUUAACGGGUGAUGGCGUGCCUUUUGUAGAAUGAACCGGCGAGUUACGAUCCCGUGCGAGGUUAAGCUGAAGAGGCGGAGCCGCAGCGAAAGCGAGUCUGAAUAGGGCGUUUAGUACGUGGUCGUAGACCCGAAACCAGGUGAUCUACCAUGUCCAGGGUGAAGUUCAGGUAACACUGAAUGGAGGCCCGAACCCACGCACGUUGAAAAGUGCGGGGAUGAGGUGUGGGUAGCGGAGAAAUUCCAAUCGAACCUGGAGAUAGCUGGUUCUCCCCGAAAUAGCUUUAGGGCUAGCCUUAAGUGUAAGAGUCUUGGAGGUAGAGCACUGAUUGGACUAGGGGUCCUCAUCGGAUUACCGAAUUCAGUCAAACUCCGAAUGCCAAUGACUUAUCCUUAGGAGUCAGACUGCGAGUGAUAAGAUCCGUAGUCAAAAGGGAAACAGCCCAGACCGCCAGCUAAGGUCCCAAAGUGUGUAUUAAGUGGAAAAGGAUGUGGAGUUGCUUAGACAACUAGGAUGUUGGCUUAGAAGCAGCCACCAUUUAAAGAGUGCGUAAUAGCUCACUAGUCGAGUGACUCUGCGCCGAAAAUGUACCGGGGCUAAAUACACCACCGAAGCUGCGGAUUGAUACCAAUGGUAUCAGUGGUAGGGGAGCGUUCUAAGGACAGUGAAGUCAGACCGGAAGGACUGGUGGAGUGCUUAGAAGUGAGAAUGCCGGUAUGAGUAGCGAAAGACGGGUGAGAAUCCCGUCCACCGAAUGCCUAAGGUUUCCUGAGGAAGGCUCGUCCGCUCAGGGUUAGUCAGGACCUAAGCCGAGGCCGACAGGCGUAGGCGAUGGACAACAGGUUGAUAUUCCUGUACCACCUCUUUAUCGUUUGAGCAAUGGAGGGACGCAGAAGGAUAGAAGAAGCGUGCGAUUGGUUGUGCACGUCCAAGCAGUUAGGCUGAUAAGUAGGCAAAUCCGCUUAUCGUGAAGGCUGAGCUGUGAUGGGGAAGCUCCUUAUGGAGCGAAGUCUUUGAUUCCCCGCUGCCAAGAAAAGCUUCUAGCGAGAUAAAAGGUGCCUGUACCGCAAACCGACACAGGUAGGCGAGGAGAGAAUCCUAAGGUGUGCGAGAGAACUCUGGUUAAGGAACUCGGCAAAAUGACCCCGUAACUUCGGGAGAAGGGGUGCUUUCUUAACGGAAAGCCGCAGUGAAUAGGCCCAAGCGACUGUUUAGCAAAAACACAGCUCUCUGCGAAGCCGUAAGGCGAAGUAUAGGGGGUGACACCUGCCCGGUGCUGGAAGGUUAAGGAGAGGGGUUAGCGUAAGCGAAGCUCUGAACUGAAGCCCCAGUAAACGGCGGCCGUAACUAUAACGGUCCUAAGGUAGCGAAAUUCCUUGUCGGGUAAGUUCCGACCCGCACGAAAGGUGUAACGAUUUGGGCACUGUCUCAACCAGAGACUCGGUGAAAUUAUAGUACCUGUGAAGAUGCAGGUUACCCGCGACAGGACGGAAAGACCCCGUGGAGCUUUACUGUAGCCUGAUAUUGAAUUUUGGUACAGUUUGUACAGGAUAGGCGGGAGCCAUUGAAACCGGAGCGCUAGCUUCGGUGGAGGCGCUGGUGGGAUACCGCCCUGACUGUAUUGAAAUUCUAACCUACGGGUCUUAUCGACCCGGGAGACAGUGUCAGGUGGGCAGUUUGACUGGGGCGGUCGCCUCCUAAAGUGUAACGGAGGCGCCCAAAGGUUCCCUCAGAAUGGUUGGAAAUCAUUCGUAGAGUGCAAAGGCAUAAGGGAGCUUGACUGCGAGACCUACAAGUCGAGCAGGGACGAAAGUCGGGCUUAGUGAUCCGGUGGUUCCGCAUGGAAGGGCCAUCGCUCAACGGAUAAAAGCUACCCCGGGGAUAACAGGCUUAUCUCCCCCAAGAGUCCACAUCGACGGGGAGGUUUGGCACCUCGAUGUCGGCUCAUCGCAUCCUGGGGCUGUAGUCGGUCCCAAGGGUUGGGCUGUUCGCCCAUUAAAGCGGUACGCGAGCUGGGUUCAGAACGUCGUGAGACAGUUCGGUCCCUAUCCGUCGUGGGCGUAGGAAAUUUGAGAGGAGCUGUCCUUAGUACGAGAGGACCGGGAUGGACGCACCGCUGGUGUACCAGUUGUUCUGCCAAGGGCAUAGCUGGGUAGCUAUGUGCGGAAGGGAUAAGUGCUGAAAGCAUCUAAGCAUGAAGCCCCCCUCAAGAUGAGAUUUCCCAUAGCGUAAGCUAGUAAGAUCCCUGAAAGAUGAUCAGGUUGAUAGGUUCGAGGUGGAAGCAUGGUGACAUGUGGAGCUGACGAAUACUAAUAGAUCGAGGACUUAACCAU